UCUAGUUAGCUAUAUGUAUAUAAAUACAUAAUCAUAUGUACAUACAUAUGUAUAUGCAUAGUGGCUUUAGUGAUUUUCAAGAGAAUCUCUCAAUGUUAGCUCAGAAAGAUUGCCGUUUGUAAACAAAUCACACGCCGCGCAGUUUUAUUUCCACUUUGGCCGAGUUCGUGUUUGUAUGUAUGUAAAUGCGUCGAUAAUGUGUUUAUGUUUGCUGGAUUUAUGCAUGUUCGUAUAUAUGUACAUAUUAAACGUGCAAAAUGAGGAGAUGGUGAGCCCAACUCCACAAACAAUGAUGAUGAAGAAGGCGUUUCAAUACCUGAAUAUGAAGAAGUUCAAAUAGCUCACUGUCAACAAACUGACUGAACCAUAUCGGCGUGACUAGGUGUUAACGAUUCACCAAAUCUUGAAAAAUACCAGCCAAGCCAGAGGAAACUGAAGUCCUCGGCAUUCCAAUUGGCUCCAAACAGCGAGUCGAAAACUUACCGUAUUUACCAGCCAAGUGUUUGCUGCUUUCAGCAACAGCUC
Long non-coding RNA from Ceratitis capitata (Mediterranean fruit fly), 525 nucleotides. RefSeq lists it as uncharacterized. The record is from RefSeq and is a predicted model, not a curated record. NCBI's taxonomy places the organism in Eukaryota, Metazoa, Arthropoda, Insecta, Diptera, Tephritidae. The transcript is spliced from 3 exons.